This 409-nucleotide ribosomal RNA is filed under the name uncultured bacterium. RNAcentral's name for it is "bacterial SSU rRNA". It matches the Rfam family "Bacterial small subunit ribosomal RNA", at positions 505 to 916 of the family's 1533-position model. The record is from RNAcentral.
GUGCCAGCAGCCGCGGUAAGACGAAGGAUGCAAGCGUUAUCCGGAUUCAUUGGGUUUAAAGGGAGCGUAGGUGGCCUUAUAAGUCAGUGGUGAAAUCCCGCAGCUUAACUGUGGAAUUGCCAUUGAUACUGUAGGGCUUGAGUACAGAUGCCGUUGGCGGAAUAUGACAUGUAGUGGUGAAAUACAUAGAGAUGUCAUAGAACACCGAUUGCGAAGGCAGCUGACGAAACUGUAACUGACACUGAGGCUCGAAAGUGCGGGGAUCAAACAGGAUUAGAUACCCUGGUAGUCCGCACUGUAAACGAUGAUUACUCGCUGCUGGAGGGCAACCUUCAGUGGCUUAGCAAAAGCGAUAAGUAAUCCACCUGGGGAGUACGCCGGCAACGGUGAAACUCAAAGGAAUUGACGG